RNAcentral lists this ribosomal RNA (432 nucleotides) under uncultured bacterium. Its description in RNAcentral is "partial 16S ribosomal RNA". It matches the Rfam family "Bacterial small subunit ribosomal RNA", at positions 29 to 507 of the family's 1533-position model. The record is from RNAcentral.
AACGAACGCUGGCGGCAGGCCUAACACAUGCAAGUCGAGCGCGCCCUUCGGGGUGAGCGGCGGACGGGUGAGUAACGCGUGGGAACAUGCCCUCCUCUCGGGAAUACCCCCGGGAAACGGAGAUUAUUACCGCAACGGCCCUUUGGGGGAAGAAUUUUCGGAGAAGGAUCGGCCCGCGUUGGAUUAGGUAGUUGGUGGGGUAAAGGGCCACCAAGCCGACGAUUCAUAGCUGGUUUGAGAGGAUGAUCAGCCACACUGGGACUGAGACACGGCCCAGACUCCUACGGGAGGCAGCAGUGGGGAAUCUUAGACAAUGGGGGCAACCCUGAUCUAGCCAUGCCGCGUGAGUGAUGAAGGCCUUAGGGUUGUAAAGCUCUUUCAGCUGGGAAGAUAAUGACGGUACCAGCAGAAGAAGCCCCGGCUAACUCCGUG